This 1493-nucleotide ribosomal RNA is filed under the name uncultured bacterium. Its description in RNAcentral is "bacterial SSU rRNA". It matches the Rfam family "Bacterial small subunit ribosomal RNA". The record is from RNAcentral.
GAGAGUUUGAUCCUGGCUCAGGAUGAACGCUAGCUACAGGCUUAACACAUGCAAGUCGAGGGGCAGCAUGGUCUUAGCUUGCUAAGGCCGAUGGCGACCGGCGCACGGGUGAGUAACGCGUAUCCAACCUGCCUUACACUCUUGGACAGCCUUCUGAAAGGGAGAUUAAUACAAGAUGUUAUCAUGAGUAAGCAUUUUCGCAUGAUUAAAGGUUUACCGGUGUAAGAUGGGGAUGCGUUCCAUUAGAUAGUAGGCGGGGUAACGGCCCACCUAGUCUUCGAUGGAUAGGGGUUCUGAGAGGAAGGUCCCCCACAUUGGAACUGAGACACGGUCCAAACUCCUACGGGAGGCAGCAGUGAGGAAUAUUGGUCAAUGGACGAGAGUCUGAACCAGCCAAGUAGCGUGAAGGAUGAAGGUUCUAUGGAUUGUAAACUUCUUUUAUACGGGAAUAAACGAAUCCACGCGUGGAUUUUUGCAUGUACCGUAUGAAUAAGGAUCGGCUAACUCCGUGCCAGCAGCCGCGGUAAUACGGAGGAUCCGAGCGUUAUCCGGAUUUAUUGGGUUUAAAGGGAGCGUAGAUGGGUUGUUAAGUCAGUUGUGAAAGUUUGCGGCUCAACCGUAAAAUUGCAAUUGAUACUGGCAGUCUUGAGUACAGUUGAGGUAGGCGGAAUUCGUGGUGUAGCGGUGAAAUGCUUAGAUAUCACGAAGAACUCCGAUUGCGAAGGCAGCUUACUAACCUGUAACUGACAUUGAUGCUCGAAAGUGUGGGUAUCAAACAGGAUUAGAUACCCUGGUAGUCCACACGGUAAACGAUGAAUACUCGCUGUAGGCGAUAUACAGUCUGCGGCCAAGCGAAAGCAUUAAGUAUUCCACCUGGGGAGUACGCCGGCAACGGUGAAACUCAAAGGAAUUGACGGGGGCCCGCACAAGCGGAGGAACAUGUGGUUUAAUUCGAUGAUACGCGAGGAACCUUACCCGGGCUUAAAUUGCAACCGAAUAUGGCGGAAACGCUAUAGCUAGCAAUAGCGGUUGUGAAGGUGCUGCAUGGUUGUCGUCAGCUCGUGCCGUGAGGUGUCGGCUUAAGUGCCAUAACGAGCGCAACCCUUGCCGAUAGUUACUAACAGGUUAUGCUGAGGACUCUGUCGGGACUGCCAUCGUAAGAUGUGAGGAAGGUGGGGAUGACGUCAAAUCAGCACGGCCCUUACGUCCGGGGCUACACACGUGUUACAAUGGGGGGUACAGAGGGCUGCUACCACGCAAGUGGAUGCCAAUCCCAAAAACCUCUCUCAGUUCGGAUUGAAGUCUGCAACCCGACUUCAUGAAGCUGGAUUCGCUAGUAAUCGCGCAUCAGCCACGGCGCGGUGAAUACGUUCCCGGGCCUUGUACACACCGCCCGUCAAGCCAUGGGAGCCGGGGGUACCUGAAGUGCGUAACCGCAAGGAGCGCCCUAGGGUAAAACUGGUGACUGGGGCUAGGUCGUAACAAGGUAGCCG